Molecule: transfer RNA, 85 nt
Filed under: Felis catus (domestic cat)
Lineage: Eukaryota; Metazoa; Chordata; Mammalia; Carnivora; Felidae
Also listed under: 1 other name
Rfam family: tRNA
About the family: Transfer RNA (tRNA) molecules are approximately 80 nucleotides in length.
Source: Rfam by way of RNAcentral
GCCUGAAAGGCUCAAUUGGUGAAGCAUCUGACUUCAGCUCAGGUCACGAUCUCACGGUUCACGGGUUCGAGCCCUGUGUCAGGCU